GGAUGUGAGGGCGAUCUGGCUGCAACAUCUGUCACCCAGUUGAUCAACAGAGUUGAUUUGGCUGAUCUGGCUGACUAUGCAGGUGUCCCCUUUCUCCCUUUCCACUCCAUGUGCAAACCUCCCAAAGCUGCAUGCUUAGUGGAAGAGGAUAACCUUCCCCAAUAGAGGAGGAUGUUCUUAGAUCAAGGGUAUAUGAGUAGCUGUACUCCCUGCUAGAACCUCCAAACAAGCUCUCUAUUUUUUUUUUGUUCCCCCUUUAAAUUUAUAAAUCAGUGUCAGAAUAUUCAUUAUCUCCUGAAAAUAAAGGAAGUUGGGAGUUUGGGUUCUAGGUGUGAUAAAGUGAAUUUUUU
This 350-nucleotide small nuclear RNA is filed under the name Marmota monax (woodchuck). RNAcentral describes it as "7SK RNA". It matches the Rfam family "7SK RNA". From Rfam's summary of the family: 7SK was discovered as an abundant small nuclear RNA in the mid-70s but a possible function has only recently been suggested. Two independent studies have found that 7SK RNA binds the CDK9/cyclin T complex (known as elongation factor P-TEFb). The record is from Rfam by way of RNAcentral. Lineage: Eukaryota; Metazoa; Chordata; Mammalia; Rodentia; Sciuridae.